UACGGAGGGUGCAAGCGUUAUCCGGAUUUAUUGGGUUUAAAGGGUCCGUAAGCGGAUCUGUAAGUCAGUGGUGAAAUCUCACAGCUUAACUGUGAAACUGCCAUUGAUACUGCAGGUCUUGAGUGUUAUUGAAGUAGCUGGAAUAAGUAGUGUAGCGGUGAAAUGCAUAGAUAUUACUUAGAACACCAAUUGCGAAGGCAGGUUACUAAGCAACAACUGACGCUGAUGGACGAAAGCGUGGGGAGCAAACAGG
RNAcentral lists this ribosomal RNA (253 nucleotides) under uncultured bacterium. RNAcentral's name for it is "partial 16S ribosomal RNA". It matches the Rfam family "Bacterial small subunit ribosomal RNA", at positions 524 to 776 of the family's 1533-position model. The record is from RNAcentral.